UUAUAAUUAUAAUAUCAUUUUUCUAUAAUUUUAGAUAAUUUAAAGCAUACAAUUAUUUUAUUUUUUUAGCUUUUAGUAUUUACAUGAUCUCAAAUCAUAUUGUUUGGUAAUAUUUGCCUUAAUUUCAAAUUGUUGGAUAAAAUUAAUUAAAUACCUAAAAAUCAAUUGUCGCAAAAAUCACAUAGAUUUUUACAUACCUCUUUAUGGUGCGGAAUUAAUGUUGUGAUUAUCAGGAUCUGAUCUCGUCUUGUUUUACGAACUCGUUGAUCCGCCAACGUCCCGUCUCAAUUUGUUGCACGUUGUUCUUACUCGUUGCAAUCCGGCUACUAGAGUCGAUCGCCGCACACCACCCAAAUCCCUAGGGUUUAUGAUGGUGCCCUAGAGCAAACCUGAGAGAGAGAGAAUUUUGAUGGAGAGAUGAUUCUUAUUUUUCUCAUUGUCUUGUAUGUAGUCAAUACCUCAUGUAUUUAUAGGCCAUAAGGAAGAUAUUAAUCUUAAUCAUAUUCUAACUAAAUCUCACAUAGAUAGAGAUUUAAACAGAUUAGGAUUUAUUUGUUAGAUUUAUUCUUUAGUCCAAGUGCAUUAGGAAUAUAACAGAUAAUUAUAAAUAAUUAUUUCUUAUCCCAUAUGGAUUAGAAAUAUUUUAGAUUAGUCCCAAUAUGGACGAAUCCUAACAUCUCCCACUCGUACACACUUGGUACUUAUUCAUACUUUCUCAUCCCAAAUAUAUUCUCAUCUCGUUCUGCUCUUUAUACGGGAAAUGGUUGGUGCGAUCAGUAACGAGAAGAAUCAUAAGUGAAGAGUGUUAUAUUAAGCCACCAUCCGAACUAACAUAACACUACAACUCCAAAUCUCGUCUAUACCCCAAAUCACUGAACUACACCAGAUCAUAGCAUCUCUGAUCUCUUAGAGCAAACUAGAUCUCUCUCAUUAAUGUAUUUGUUCUCAUAAUUAUAUUGACAACAAAUAUCAACAUAAUCGCCCGGGCAAUGAGUAACAAAUCAUAGGUGUAUUAUCAAAAGAUUUUUUCUUAGAUGCCUCAUGUCAAUCCAUUUCAACUUUACUACUUUCCUAGACAUGUUCCGUUGGAUCGAAUCAAUCAUAGCCCUUGGAUAUCAU
Molecule: long non-coding RNA, 1119 nt
Filed under: Ananas comosus (pineapple)
Lineage: Eukaryota; Viridiplantae; Streptophyta; Magnoliopsida; Poales; Bromeliaceae
Description: long non-coding RNA (ACOM_LNC010439)
Source: RNAcentral